Molecule: long non-coding RNA, 819 nt
Organism: Carassius carassius (crucian carp)
Lineage: Eukaryota; Metazoa; Chordata; Actinopteri; Cypriniformes; Cyprinidae
Exons: 4
Source: RefSeq, a predicted model, not a curated record
UAAGUGAUCAUCAUAAUUAAAGGACAACUAGGCUAUAUCAGGGAAAAGACAUCGGCGCAGAGAAAAGACAAAGCCUGAGAUGAAGCCCGUGCAUCACUUUCAGGACAGAAGCUGUACAAGAGUGACACUGAACAAGUGAAGAAUGAAUAUCUCUGCUCUGUUGGUGUUUAUUUCUGCUGUCGUGUCUGUUUACUGCUAUUAUGAACUGCCCUGCUCUGACUGCAAUCAACCAUGUUCUCCUGAACUCUUGAGAAAUGCCACAGAACAAUUACUCGAGUACAUGAGCUUUGAAGACUGCAGACAGAACAAACACAUUUCUAAAUUAGCCAAUCCUACUUGGGAGUGCAAACAAAGCAAUUCGGGUUUGGAAUUAAACCCGGACGUCUUUAAUGCCACAUGUGGAAAUUGCAGAGAUCAAAAUUUCAAGGCAGUACCAAUUUUGCAAAAUAUCAACAUGGUUUUCAGACAGGUCUGCCCGAACAGAACUGACUAUUUUUUAGAAGUAAAACCAGUCACAAUCUCAUUAGGCUGUACAUGUGCAAAAUCACCUCACUAAAUAAUGCCUGCAUGCACUUGUGAUAAGCUCGGUAAUAUGUAUUCCAUCAUGUAUUCUUUUAUUUUUCAGUUGUAAAAGCCAAAUAUAAUGAAUAUCUAUAAAGAUCAGUGCUAUGGAUUAUUUGUUGUGUUUUUGACAAAAAUGCUCUUAAAUGUUUUUUUACAAUGCAUGUUUGUAAAAACUUUCUCAAAACCAUGUAUAUACAAUUAUGCAUUUAUUUGUGCUAUAUUAAUCUUCUUAUAGAAGUUAAUAAAACUUGUUCA